UUUCAUGAGAAAAGCUGGUGAGAACACAGUAGAAUGUAAUUUAAGAGAGAGAAGUAAGGGCUGACAAAAAAGGGAAGAUAUAUUCACCCCAGGGCAUCGUGAAAGCAAAAUGAAUGGAGAGCAAAGCAGCAUAAGAAAUGCAGCGAGGCCUGGAGUCAACGUCUCGGGGCAUUUGGUCAAAGAUCACCAUCCCUCCUUCAUGAUACCAUCUCCAAAAGGAGAUUCGGAAUUUUAUGAGUACAUUCUCUGCUUCUGUUUUAGCCAACAUGAUUAAAGGUGGUAAAGGAGUUCUGCAUAUUAUUAUCUGACCAGAUCCAAGAGGAGACCUCUUGCCUCAUGAAACCCCACACCCAAGCAUCCUUUCUGAAGAGAAGAACCCUUUACACUGGCAAACUUGAUCCUGAACACUGGAUUCUAUCAAUGGAAAAACAUCUCUGCUGUUGAGAGCUUGGCCUGUGGUGUUGAAUGAGGAGUUCAGCGUCACAGACGCUGGAGCUGAUGACUGUUAGGAAGCAUCUGGUACAAUCCUCCUGCUCAACAGAGGAGUCUGGACAAAGCUAAUCAGUAACCCAACUCUAAGAAACCUGAGCUCCCAAUUCUCAGCCCAAAGCCCGGAUGAGUAAAAUGUGAAUUCAGUGAAUGCUGAUCAAAGACUCAAAGGAAUGCAACAGCUCUCCUCUUUUCUCUACCCUCCUCUUUUAUUUUUCUCUUUCCUCUUUCCCCUACUACUUGCUCUUUUCCCCUUUAAAUAUAGAAGUCCCAAACCCCUCUUUGGAAAAAAGCAUGGAUCACAGAUUGUUCCUGUGGUUUUGUGUUCCUUUUUGCUGGGUGCAUCCUUAACCUUGGCAAA
Callithrix jacchus (white-tufted-ear marmoset) is the source of this 850-nucleotide long non-coding RNA. RefSeq lists it as uncharacterized. NCBI's taxonomy places the organism in Eukaryota, Metazoa, Chordata, Mammalia, Primates, Cebidae. The record is from RefSeq and is a predicted model, not a curated record.